UACAGAGGUGGCAAGCGUUGCUCGGUGUUACUGGGCUUAAAGGGUGCGUAGGCUGCGCAGUACGGCUCGGGUGAAAUCCCUCGGCCCAACCGAGGAACAGCCCGGGCGACGGCUGUGCUAGGCAGCAUCAGGGGAAGAUGGAACUCCCGGUGGAGCGGUGAAAUGCGUAGAUAUCGGGAGGAACGCCGAUGGCGAAAGCAAUCUUCUGGGGUGCAUGCGACGCUGAGGCACGAAAGCUAGGGGAGCAAACGGG
RNAcentral lists this ribosomal RNA (253 nucleotides) under uncultured bacterium. RNAcentral describes it as "partial 16S ribosomal RNA". It matches the Rfam family "Bacterial small subunit ribosomal RNA", at positions 524 to 776 of the family's 1533-position model. The record is from RNAcentral.